GAUCCUGGCUCAGAUUGAACGCUGGCGGCAGGCUUAACACAUGCAAGUCGAACGGUAACAGGAGAAAGCUUGCUUUCUUGCUGACGAGUGGCGGACGGGUGAGUAAUGCUUGGGAAUCUGGCUUAUGGAGGGGGAUAACGACGGGAAACUGUCGCUAAUACCGCGUAGAGUCGAGAGACGAAAGUGGGGGACCGCAAGGCCGCAUGCCAUAGGAUGAGCCCAAGUGGGGAUUAGGUAGUUGGUGGGGUAA
This 250-nucleotide ribosomal RNA is filed under the name uncultured bacterium. RNAcentral's name for it is "partial 16S ribosomal RNA". It matches the Rfam family "Bacterial small subunit ribosomal RNA", at positions 15 to 260 of the family's 1533-position model. The record is from RNAcentral.